Molecule: long non-coding RNA, 257 nt
Organism: Lontra canadensis (Northern American river otter)
Lineage: Eukaryota; Metazoa; Chordata; Mammalia; Carnivora; Mustelidae
Exons: 3
Source: RefSeq, a predicted model, not a curated record
CUCUCUGCAUUUACAUGCAGGCUCCAUACUCAGCCUUGAAUCCUACCUGGAUUCCAAACAUUUCCAAAUGGCUCUUCCCGCAAAUGGUGGGUAACUUGGGAAUUCACUCUCCUUCUGGCACCAGCAAAAGAUCAAAGAUCUCUGUCUCCUGCAGUAACCACUGGCACUCAAGUUCAGAGACGAAGAGUACCGUUUCUUCUGGACAUUUAACUAUAGUAAGUUUGUAAAACAUAUGGUUGUGGAAAUAGAAGCAUCUU